CUUCUUCCUUUUAAUUUUCUGCAUCUCCCUCAAACUCUCCCUCUAUAUUGCAGCAAAGAAAAAAAAAAAAAAAAAAAACCAGAAAAUAGAAGACCCAAACCCCUUCUUCCAUUUUCGGUGAAGCCCAGAACACCGUUCAAUCUUUUCCCUCUGAUGUGUUCGGUUAGCUCCCUUGUGUGUGUGUGUGGGUGUUUGGGUAGUGUAUUAUGUAUAGAAAAGAAAGAGAAGAAAGGUAGAACAAGUGAGAAACUUCUGGAACGUGUUCUUCCUUUAUGACACUGUAGACCAGAAUCUUUUCUUUAUGGAUGGCAUAGACCCUACCCCUAAGAGCAAUGGAUCGAUAAAGACCGGUCUAACUUUUGUAUUGUACAUAUUUAUUUUGAAUUCCUAGAAAUAUGAUGUAAUAAUUAAAGAACUACUAUAUAUAUUCAUAUAAUGAAAUAUAGCCAUGUGCUAUUCAUAAGAAAA
Alnus glutinosa is the source of this 468-nucleotide long non-coding RNA. RefSeq lists it as uncharacterized. NCBI's taxonomy places the organism in Eukaryota, Viridiplantae, Streptophyta, Magnoliopsida, Fagales, Betulaceae. The record is from RefSeq and is a predicted model, not a curated record. The transcript has 2 exons.